UAUAACGCAUUUAUGUCAAAGUCAACAUAUAUUUAUUCAUACAGAUAACUUCAGAAUGUUACAAAAUAUUAUUUUAAGAGUAUAAACUGCGAAAAUUCGGCCUCACAUGGAGUAGUGUUCUCACCUCUGGGCGGAAGCUCCCCAUUACCAGUCUUCCACUUGACCGUAUUCAACGAAAAGCUGUUUGAAUCGGACAUCCAGGGACAAGAAAAAAAGGCGCGUAACCGAAAAAUGGGACGGUAAUUUUUUUUCUAACGCCGAUAAAGAAGUUUCAUUUCAAUAAAGAAGUUCCUAGUUACCCUGUCAGGAUGAAUUUAAAGGAAGAUUCUUCGAAAAAGGCACACAGACAGAAAUAAACAGAGUUAUAUAUA
Molecule: long non-coding RNA, 371 nt
Organism: Pieris brassicae (large cabbage white)
Lineage: Eukaryota; Metazoa; Arthropoda; Insecta; Lepidoptera; Pieridae
Exons: 2
Source: RefSeq, a predicted model, not a curated record